GGGUUUUUUAAUUGAGAUCAACAAUUCCAAAAUAAACCCUUCUGUAAACUGAUUUGAUAGCCUCUUGGAAAGGGAAAUUAAAUCUGGGGAGAAGGCUCAAGAACUAUAACAUUAUUUGGACAAAAAUAUUAAAAUAAAUGGAUCAGAUGGAGAUUACGAAGAAAAUUGGGUCAUGAAUACCAUUCAAAUAGGUUUGAAAUAGUGGUAUGAAUAGUUUUAAAGACAUAUUGGUGGUUGCCUGAUGCUCAAUGUAUUUAUCAAGUUAUUGGAUGGGAUCCGAAAGAGCGGUGAGCUAGCGGAGCGUGUAGGGUGGACCAGGAGCGAGGGGGCAACUAAGCAGAGGAAGGCGCAACAGUAACCGGCCGCAGCCCGAAGCAGGGAGAGGGGCUGACUGGAAGCGGCCCAGGGACGGUGCAGAGGCGCCGGGCGAGGAGCCGGCGCACCAGGUCGGGAGAAGUUCCGUCGUGGAAAUGGCAAACUGGGAGCGGACGCGGUAGGGUGCAGCUCAGCCGGACGUGAAAGGAAGAAGUCAGGGCGUGGCUCAGGCGGACCUGGAUGGAAGACGGCAAGUCAGGAGCUCAGGCGGACGUGAAAGGGUGGUGGCCUAGCGGACCGGAUUCUAAGUGUACAUAAAUGAGAAAACUAGUGAAGAGAAUAUGCUGAUGUAACAAUCAUCAGGAUCAUGAAAUGCACUCCUUCAGGAUCUGGUGUCAGGCAUGCAACCAAUAUCAUUUGCCGAAAGGAACAAGGGAGGACAUUGGUCUGGGAGACGAUGCUGACAUUGGUUCAUUUAUCCUGUCAGUGAAUUCAGAGGAUUUUGCAGAUACAAUGUUGGUGGUAUCUCACUAGUGCUUGGAGGUAUCUGCUGUAGAUAGUCCAUAGCUCAGAGAGGUAUGGGGGCUAGGGUGAAUGCUCCCAGUAGACCAUGUGCUGGGUUUCAUGUUUCAUUUCAUAACUUGUUUUGGAUGUGAGUGGAAAUUGGAGUGCCCAGCAGAGAACGUACAAGUAGAACAUACAAACUCCACACAGAGAGCGCCCAAGGUGAGGAUCAAACCUUGGUCCCUGGAGCUGUGAGGCAGCAACAACUUUAACUACUGUGCCAACAUCCCCAGUGCUGAGACCCUAAUAAUACUCAUUCAGUUCUGAUGGGAAGGCUACAUCAUAAGGGCAUGUGUAAAAUAAUUAACACUGGGCUAUCUGCAAUAGAGAUGAAUAUUCAGAGAAAAUGUCCCUUUUGGUCCAUAUCCUUGUCUCAAAACCAACACUCAUAAGGCAAAAUCAGGUUUGAUUAUUUCCUCAGAUAGUGUUACAUAUUUAUGACCAUGACAAACCUAACUAUUAUUGUCAGACUACCGGGCAUUGUCCCAAUAGCACUAUUCUUCUCUAUUGUGGCAGUCUUACAUUUUCUUUGAGGUGUGGGAAUCUGCUUCAAAUCUAACAUCUCAGAGGCAACUCCUGUGUCUCUAAAAUUAGCUCGAUUGACAGCUUUGUACUCAAAGGCAUCCCAGACAGAAGAUAAAGGUAGCUUUGCUUUAGUUCAUUUUGUUUCGAUAAUAAUGAGGUGAAGAUCAGGUGUUCCAUGAAAAAUUAUCAAAGGAUGUUA
This is a long non-coding RNA of Pristis pectinata (smalltooth sawfish), 1603 nucleotides long. RefSeq lists it as uncharacterized. The transcript has 3 exons. The record is from RefSeq and is a predicted model, not a curated record. Lineage: Eukaryota; Metazoa; Chordata; Chondrichthyes; Rhinopristiformes; Pristidae.